GACCCAGGCCCGCCCCCGACCCUCGGAGGGGAAGCGCAGGCUGCAGGAAGCCCCCGCUGCGGCGCUCCCCGCGUGGACCCACCCGCGCCUUUGCGCCCGGCCCCGGGCGCGGGGCGGGGAGGGGGGGGGCGACGGGGACGCAACAGCGCGAAGGCGGGCGCCGGAGCCCCGGGGGCUCACGGAGUUCCUUUUAGCCUCGGGAUGCGGAGUGGGGGCGAGGGGCGCCGUCGUCGGGCUGCUGCGAACUUCGUCCAUCACCGCCACCACCAGCACCCCGAGCUGGCCAGCCUGCAGGCGUCUCUUCGUUUUGCAGUGAACACCACCUGAAUCUGUAACCCCAAAGAGGAGUUCCCACGGGGGGGAACAAAAGAAGAAAAAGAAAGCGAACCCCGGUGGCGCUCCCAAAUCCAUCCUUCCCAGGGGUCGGCUCCACUGCCUUGGUCAUCGGCUCACAUCCACCCGGCGGCAGACAAGGCUCAACACUUCCUUGAGUUUCCGUGAAGCAAAGCUACAUGCCUUUACCUAAUCCGCCGCGCUCCUGAAAACAUUUCGAGUUUGCUGGUUUUGCUGCAAAUAAUCCAUGAACACAAAUGGCCUCACUUCGAGCACCAAGACGUUAGACACGAUGACACUGCGGAUGUUAAUAAGUCAGCUUGGAUUCUCAGUGGAAUAGCGGGACCUGAUGGUGCCUUUGGAAAGCAGUUUCAGUGAACCAAAGUGUGACAUCCUUCCUCCAUCCCCCGGUUCAUGGAGGUGGAGGCAGGUCCAGCUGGCAGGCCAGGUCUCCCAGGACGGACAUGGACUGGUUGGCGUGAGUCUCCAGGUUACUUCUUGAUUAAGAACGUCUAACCAUGAUCCUGGGCAGUCAUCAUCUAGUGUAUUGAGAGGUGACAAGUCUCAUCCAGCUGCACACAUCCUGAGCUCUCCGGGGAAAUGAAGCAAAGGGCAUUGCAGAAAGAAGGAAUGCAGAAUAUUCCAUUUCCUGUUGGCUCACUACCAGGAUUCUGCAUCCUGUUCCAUUUUCAUUAAGGGACAAUGCCGUAAUUGGGAGCUGAGACCCUGACUAAGGAUUUGAAGUCAAGUAAACCAUAAAUACGGCCACUGACCUAGCAGAAAUGUGAAGCCAUCACCUCUGUAAACGUUGGUGAUCCUUAACAUUUUAAAAUCGUGUCCAAAGUCGCAGAAGCCUGUCUUUUAUGAUUACAGAGGACCUUCACAGUUAUCUUGUCCAGCCCACAAUUUGGAAAUAAGGAUUUUCAAAUCGAAGACAGGCCCACCACCUAUUCACAGGGUGACUGUGGGGACCGAGUGAGGUGCCACAUGGAGGGCCCAGCCUGGAGUCUGAGCAGAGCAGAUGCUGAGGAAAUGUGAGCUCCUCUUCCUGCCUUUUGCCCUCCGAAUCUGCGUGUAACCGCACACCCCUGCACACACAGAGUUUACUUUACCAAAAAAGCAGGUGGACUCCAGUUUGCUACCACAUCAGAAUUCAGAACCUUCUGCAGCUGUCACCUGGGAGUCAUCACCAUGCCGAGAGGUGUGGUCCACCCGUGGCUACCCUUCCAGGCCUCGGCUCAGAGCCCAACUUAACCGACCUCUGAGCAGCCAGAAAAAUCACACUCGUGAGAGAUGCUCCUCACGUUGCCUGGCCGUCUAGAGACUCCUGCCCACCUACAGCUCAAUGCAAGGCCAGCACAGACGUUCCCAAGCUCCCUUCUGACCCACAGACAACCCUGCAGGGGACAUCAAGUCACAAGAGGGCAGCUGGAUUUUUAUUUCCAUUUAAAAAUGGAUGCGAUUUUCCCAACAUAAAUGCAAAGGGGAAACUGGGCGAGUGGGUAGAAAAAUAUUACAGAUACUUACUUCUAGAA
Molecule: RNA transcript, 1868 nt
Organism: Phacochoerus africanus (Common warthog)
Lineage: Eukaryota; Metazoa; Chordata; Mammalia; Artiodactyla; Suidae
Exons: 9
Source: RefSeq, a predicted model, not a curated record